RNAcentral lists this ribosomal RNA (534 nucleotides) under Plasmodium ovale wallikeri. RNAcentral's name for it is "SSU rRNA". It matches the Rfam family "Eukaryotic small subunit ribosomal RNA", at positions 744 to 1228 of the family's 1831-position model. Lineage: Eukaryota; Apicomplexa; Aconoidasida; Haemosporida; Plasmodiidae. The record is from RNAcentral.
AGAUUUUGUUACUUUGAGUAAAUUAGAGUGUUCAAAGCAAACAGUUAAAGCAUUUUACUGCGUUUGAAUACUACAGCAUGGAAUAACAAAAUUGAACAAGUCAAAACUCUGUUCCUUUUUCUUAUUUUGGCUUAGUUACGAUUAAUAGGAGUAGCUUGGGGGCAUUUGUAUUCAGAUGUCAGAGGUGAAAUUCUUAGAUUUUCUGGAGACAAACAACUGCGAAAGCAUUUGCCUAAAAUACUUCCAUUAAUCAAGAACGAAAGUUAAGGGAGUGAAGACGAUCAGAUACCGUCGUAAUCUUAACCAUAAACUAUGCCGACUAGGUUUUGGAUGAAAGAUUUUUAAAUAAGAAAAUUCCUUUUGGAAAUUUCUUAGAUUGCUUCCUUCAGUACCUUAUGAGAAAUCAAAGUCUUUGGGUUCUGGGGCGAGUAUUCGCGCAAGCGAGAAAGUUAAAAGAAUUGACGGAAGGGCACCACCAGGCGUGGAGCUUGCGGCUUAAUUUGACUCAACACGGGGAAACUCACUAGUUUAAGA